RNAcentral lists this ribosomal RNA (458 nucleotides) under uncultured bacterium. Its description in RNAcentral is "bacterial SSU rRNA". It matches the Rfam family "Bacterial small subunit ribosomal RNA", at positions 349 to 793 of the family's 1533-position model. The record is from RNAcentral.
CAGCAGUGGGAAUAUUGCACAAUGGGCGCAAGCCUGAUGCAGCCAUGCCGCGUGUAUGAAGAAGGCCUUCGGGUUGUAAAGUACUUUUCAGCAAGUGAGGAAGGUUGGAUAUGUUAAUAGCAUAUUCAUUUGACGUUAGCUGCAGAAGAAGCAACCGGCUAACUCCGUGCCAGCAGCCGCGGUAAUACGGAGGGUGCGAGCGUUAAUCGGAAUUACUGGGCGUAAAGCGACAUGCAGGUGGUUUGUUAAGUCAGAUGUCGAAAGCCCGGGGCUCAACCUCGGAAUUGCAUUUGAAACUGGCAAACUAGAGUACUGUAGAGGGGGUAGAAUUUCAGGUGUAGCGGUGAAAUGCGUAGAGAUCUGAAGGAAUACCCGGUGGCGAAGGCGGCCCCCUCGGACAGAUACUGACACUCAGAUGCGAAAGCGUGGGGAGCAAACAGGAUUAGAUAACCUGGUAG